This 72-nucleotide transfer RNA is filed under the name Ictidomys tridecemlineatus (thirteen-lined ground squirrel). RNAcentral's name for it is "Spermophilus tridecemlineatus (thirteen-lined ground squirrel) tRNA". It matches the Rfam family "tRNA". Rfam says of the family: Transfer RNA (tRNA) molecules are approximately 80 nucleotides in length. Lineage: Eukaryota; Metazoa; Chordata; Mammalia; Rodentia; Sciuridae. The record is from Rfam by way of RNAcentral.
UGGGGUGUGGCUCAGUGGUAGAGCGCUUGCUUAGCAUGUAUGAGGCACCAGGUUUGAUUCUUAGCACCGCAU